Molecule: transfer RNA, 18 nt
Filed under: Tritomaria exsecta
Lineage: Eukaryota; Viridiplantae; Streptophyta; Jungermanniopsida; Jungermanniales; Lophoziaceae
Also listed under: 1 other name
Description: partial tRNA-Phe
Source: RNAcentral
UGCCGGGAUAGCUCAGUU